Molecule: ribosomal RNA, 160 nt
Filed under: uncultured bacterium
Lineage: Bacteria
Description: partial 16S ribosomal RNA
Rfam family: Bacterial small subunit ribosomal RNA
Source: RNAcentral
UGGGGAAUUUUGGACAAUGGGGGCAACCCUGAUCCAGCCAUGCCGCGUGAGUGAAGAAGGCCUUCGGGUUGUAAAGCUCUUUCAGCCGGGAAGAAAUCGGCGCCUCUAACAUAGGCGUCGGAUGACGGUACCGGACCAAGAAGCACCGGCUAACUACGUG